Molecule: ribosomal RNA, 385 nt
Filed under: uncultured eukaryote
Lineage: Eukaryota
Description: partial 18S ribosomal RNA
Rfam family: Eukaryotic small subunit ribosomal RNA
Source: RNAcentral
CAAUAGCGUAUAUUAAUGUUGUUGCAGUUAAAAAGCUCGUAGUUGAAUUUCUGGACUCAACUUUCGGUCCGAGGCCUUGUGCCUUGCGUACUGUUCUCGUUGGGUCCAUCUUAGUUGGGGAACGUCACUGGCAUUAAGUUGUUGGAGGCUGGAACCACUUCGUUUACUGUGAAUAAAAUAGAGUGUUUAAAGCAGGCAUUACGCCUUGAAUACUUCAGCAUGGAAUAAAAUUAUAGGACUAUUGUGCUAUUUUAUUGGUUUGCGCACUUAGUAAUGAUUAAUAGGGACAGUUGGGGGUAUUCAUAUUUGAUUGUCAGAGGUGAAAUUCUUGGAUUUAUGAAAGAUGAACUUAUGCGAAAGCAUUUACCAAGGAUGUUUUCAUUAA